RNAcentral lists this transfer RNA (76 nucleotides) under Mycobacteriales bacterium. Its description in RNAcentral is "tRNA-Lys". It matches the Rfam family "tRNA". From Rfam's summary of the family: Transfer RNA (tRNA) molecules are approximately 80 nucleotides in length. Lineage: Bacteria; Bacillati; Actinomycetota; Actinomycetes; Mycobacteriales. The record is from RNAcentral. RNAcentral also lists the same sequence under 1 other name.
GCGCCGCUAGCUCAAUUGGUAGAGCAGCUGGCUCUUAACCAGCGGGUUCGGGGUUCGAGUCCCUGGCGGCGCACCA